This 222-nucleotide long non-coding RNA is filed under the name Lathyrus oleraceus (garden pea). RNAcentral describes it as "Pisum sativum (pea) long non-coding RNA (PSAT_LNC036963)". Lineage: Eukaryota; Viridiplantae; Streptophyta; Magnoliopsida; Fabales; Fabaceae. The record is from RNAcentral.
AGAAAAGAGAAAAUUCACAAAAAAUAUCAAAUGAUGAAAUAAAAAAUAUUAAAAAUCAGAAAUAGAAACUAGAAUUUAUUUGGGAAAUAAUGCAAUUGGUCCCAUAAUUUUUGGAUUAAAAAUGAAAGAGAUAUGAUUUUUUGAAAUAAAAGGAAAUAAAGAAAAUAAAAUCAGAAAAUAAAAAAAGCAAAAAAACAAGGAGCGUUGGAUCUGAGCUCAUUA